Molecule: ribosomal RNA, 446 nt
Filed under: uncultured bacterium
Lineage: Bacteria
Description: partial 16S ribosomal RNA
Rfam family: Bacterial small subunit ribosomal RNA
Source: RNAcentral
GCCAGACUCCUACGGGAGGCAGCAGUGGGAAUAUUGCACAAUGGGGGAAACCCUGAUGCAGCGACGCCGCGUGAAGGAUGAAGUAUUUCGGUAUGUAAACUUCUAUCAGCAGGGAAGAAAAUGACGGUACCUGACUAAGAAGCCCCGGCUAACUACGUGCCAGCAGCCGCGGUAAUACGUAGGGGGCAAGCGUUAUCCGGAUUUACUGGGUGUAAAGGGAGCGUAGACGGCAUGGCAAGUCUGAUGUGAAAACCCGGGGCUCAACCCCGGGACUGCAUUGGAAACUGUCAGGCUAGAGUGUCGGAGAGGCAAGUGGAAUUCCUAGUGUAGCGGUGAAAUGCGUAGAUAUUAGGAGGAACACCAGUGGCGAAGGCGGCUUGCUGGACGAUGACUGACGUUGAGGCUCGAAAGCGUGGGGAGCAAACAGGAUUAGAUACCCGUGUAGA